This 497-nucleotide ribosomal RNA is filed under the name uncultured bacterium. Its description in RNAcentral is "partial 16S ribosomal RNA". It matches the Rfam family "Bacterial small subunit ribosomal RNA", at positions 28 to 507 of the family's 1533-position model. The record is from RNAcentral.
GAUGAACGCUGGCGGCGUGCCUAAUACAUGCAAGUCGAGCGAACGGACGAGAAGCUUGCUUCUCUGAUGUUAGCGGCGGACGGGUGAGUAACACGUGGAUAACCUACCUAUAAGACUGGGAUAACUUCGGGAAACCGGAGCUAAUACCGGAUAAUAUUUUGAACCGCAUGGUUCAAAAGUGAAAGACGGUCUUGCUGUCACUUAUAGAUGGAUCCGCGCUGCAUUAGCUAGUUGGUAAGGUAACGGCUUACCAAGGCAACGAUGCAUAGCCGACCUGAGAGGGUGAUCGGCCACACUAGAACUGAGACACGGUCCAGACUCCUACGGGAGGCAGCAGUAGGGAAUCGUCCGCAAUGGGCGAAAGCCUGACGGAGCAACGCCGCGUGAGUGAUGAAGGUCUUCGGAUCGUAAAACUCUGUUAUUAGGGAAGAACAUAUGUGUAAGUAACUGUGCACAUCUUGACGGUACCUAAUCAGAAAGCCACGGCUAACUACGUG